Long non-coding RNA from Alosa alosa (allis shad), 1010 nucleotides. RefSeq lists it as uncharacterized. The transcript has 2 exons. The record is from RefSeq and is a predicted model, not a curated record. NCBI's taxonomy places the organism in Eukaryota, Metazoa, Chordata, Actinopteri, Clupeiformes, Clupeidae.
UUUCUGUUGCGGGACUGGGGCGCCUGUGGUAGACCUUUUCUGAAGAGAAACGUAAAGUAGCCCCCCACCCUCACCCCAAAAAGCCUGAGCCGACGUUGUUAAAGACGACUGUAAAGUGAUGGCCGAUAUAAAUGUUUACAACCUGGAGAACUCUUUAGAUCGUGUCCAGGGAUCCAGCCGAACUGACGAAGGCUCAAUAGAGGGAAUUACCUUAGAAUAAGCAUGAGGAGCGCAGACUGAAAGGUCACUGCCAAUGACCCUCCGAGGAUUUUAUUGCAUCGGUGUGAUUGGUCCAUUCCCCUGUCUGUCAAACGCUUGUACAUUUCCCCUUGUGCCAAUGUGAAAAAAAUCAGUAGGCCUAUUUAGAGAGAAAGGUCUGUCCAUAACAUUUUUAACCACAGAACAAUUUUUUUAAUCAUAAUACAAUGUACAAUGUACAAUUCUAAUGUCUCUUUUUCGCAGUAAGUAUUUCAUACGUACAAUGCCGAUGGAGCGGAUUAUCAAUGAUUAUCAAUGGUUACAUUAGAAAAUAUCCAGGCUCCUCCAUCAUGAAAUAACGUAUGUUGUUAAAAUAUUAUUCUAUGCAUGUGUACCUCUGCCUGUGUAUUUGUGAAAAUGUUUAAGUUAAACCGCGUCAUCGUGUUUGUGAUCAUGUAAAUAUUGUGUUGACUAAAAAAACCAAAGUCAAGAUCAACAGUAUGUUUAAAAUCUGUUUUGACUGAACACCGCAUUACUCCAUUGAUUGUUUUUGAGAAGUCAAUUUGAAAAGAGCAUUUUGGUAUUUUGCGCAAUGACGAAUCUGGCAAAGUUUCGAGGAUCGAAUUUUUCAUCGAUAUCCGUCAGUGUGUGCAGCAGCGCAGCAGUUUUGUUGUUGGACAUUUGUGCAGACAGUUUUCCAUUAUUUGCACAGUUGGAAUUCUUACGAGAAACAAACGUUGAAUGAGUAAUAUGUUUCAUCUGAUUGAUUGCUAUCUGUACAUGUUAAUUAAUCAAUUAAAGGAAUAAAGGUU